RNAcentral lists this ribosomal RNA (398 nucleotides) under Escherichia coli. Its description in RNAcentral is "bacterial SSU rRNA". It matches the Rfam family "Bacterial small subunit ribosomal RNA", at positions 1 to 393 of the family's 1533-position model. Lineage: Bacteria; Pseudomonadati; Pseudomonadota; Gammaproteobacteria; Enterobacterales; Enterobacteriaceae. The record is from RNAcentral.
UUAAAUUGAAGAGUUUGAUCAUGGCUCAGAUUGAACGCUGGCGGCAGGCCUAACACAUGCAAGUCGAACGGUAACAGGAAGCAGCUUGCUGCUUCGCUGACGAGUGGCGGACGGGUGAGUAAUGUCUGGGAAACUGCCUGAUGGAGGGGGAUAACUACUGGAAACGGUAGCUAAUACCGCAUAACGUCGCAAGACCAAAGAGGGGGACCUUCGGGCCUCUUGCCAUCGGAUGUGCCCAGAUGGGAUUAGCUUGUUGGUGGGGUAACGGCUCACCAAGGCGACGAUCCCUAGCUGGUCUGAGAGGAUGACCAGCCACACUGGAACUGAGACACGGUCCAGACUCCUACGGGAGGCAGCAGUGGGGAAUAUUGCACAAUGGGCGCAAGCCUGAUGCAGCC